Molecule: unclassified non-coding RNA, 240 nt
Filed under: soil metagenome
Description: partial contains 5.8S ribosomal RNA, internal transcribed spacer 2, and large subunit ribosomal RNA
Source: RNAcentral
AACACUGUUAACCUGCGGUACCUGCGGAAGGAUCAUUACCGAGUCUUCGUACUCAAAACAACCCUUCUGUGGACCUGAAUAAAACCGUUGCCUCGGCAGGCGGCCCUACCUACGGGCCAGAUAGUUCGGCUGCCUCCAGGGAGGAAACCCUCCCUGAGGUGCUGGCGCCAGCCGCUGGCCCCAAACCAAAACUCUAGUAACUUUUACCUUCUGAGUUUUAAUGCAAGAAAUAAGUCAAAA